AGAUGGAUUACUUACCUGGGUCUUUGGGGUUUGAGUAUUUAUAGAGGAGAUGGCUAUGUAACCAUUUUUGAUAAAUAGACUGGCCAAACCUGAUGCGGUUAUUUAGUUAUGAUUCUUAGGAUCAGACGGUUACACCUGAAAGAUUCUCAGAAUCAGACGUUUAUGCCCACAUAGCAUUGAUAGCUAUGGCCAGAUAGUAUUAACAGC
This 207-nucleotide long non-coding RNA is filed under the name Elaeis guineensis (African oil palm). RNAcentral describes it as "long non-coding RNA (EGUI_LNC028490)". Lineage: Eukaryota; Viridiplantae; Streptophyta; Magnoliopsida; Arecales; Arecaceae. The record is from RNAcentral.